This 1056-nucleotide long non-coding RNA is filed under the name Homo sapiens (human). Its description in RNAcentral is "UBE2D3 antisense RNA 1 (UBE2D3-AS1)". Lineage: Eukaryota; Metazoa; Chordata; Mammalia; Primates; Hominidae. The record is from RNAcentral.
AGUAACACCUCUGGCCCCUCCCUCCUCCCUGAAUAAUCUGUGUUCUCUCUCAUAGCUAGCCAGAUAUACUAAAAGCACAGGACUAGGCAUGAAGAUGGAGGGAGGAACCCAGAUUAGUUAUUGCUUCCCAUUUGCUUGAUAUUGGCCUGGUUAGUUAUCUUCUAACCCCGUUUCUUCACCGCUAAACUAGGAGAGAAGACUUGAAAUGUUCCCAGCACUUAGAAAUGAGAAAUAUUCGAGGUGAUGGAUACCCCAGUCAAGUACCUCUUGACUUGCUACUGGUACCUGGAAGAGAUGUAACACCUGACCAUGGGACAUCAAGUGACUGUGUGAAUCAAACUGCCCAUCAUGAAUUGUUGUUAUUUGACUCAUCAAACUGUACAACUGGAUGAACACAGGAGCAGUGCACUACAUAUGGGACUGGAACCAUGAAUGAGCAGGUGACUCAGACUCCUAUAGUACCUGCCUCUACUCCUUCAGCACUUCUCCCUCAACCCACAUAAACUGUCAUCAUAAUGAGUUCCCUCUGACCAGUUAAUGGAAGAGAAAAAAGUAUGGAUGUUAUGGAUAUCCUAACAUAUUUCUGGCCAUUGGACCCCUAGAAACCUGUGGCAAGUCCUGGAAGUUUUUCAAGGUUCAUCUUGCACCUUCUAGCAUGCAUAUGUCGUACCAAAGCAUGUAGAAUGCUGCCUACUUCUGCUCUUCAGUUUCAUUUAAUAUAAUUUCAUUACUCUGAUAAAUCAGUGUGAUGUUCUAUGGAAUAACAAAAGACCAUCAAGGUCCCUUCAUACCAUAUAGAGAACAGGAGAGUUGAUGUAGCCUGAGACAAGACAGUAAGGACUUACUGUUAUCCCUCCUAUUUAAACGUAGUCUGUUUCUGAUUCUCCUUAGAAUGGGGGUGGGGGGACAUUUCCAGAUCAAUAUCAGAUCAGUAUCAUGUCAACAUGGGUAUUAAUUUCUUCCGAAGAAGAUACCACACCUAGAACAGCAACCAUAAUUGGCAUCCCUACCUAAUUAAAGUUUGCAGUCCACUGUCAUUCUUCAAAAAAAAAAAAA